UACGAAGGGGGCUAGCGUUGUUCGGAAUCACUGGGCGUAAAGGGCGCGUAGGCGGCCAUAUAAGUCGGGGGUGAAAGCCUGUGGCUCAACCACAGAAUUGCCUUCGAUACUGUAUGGCUCGAGACCGGAAGAGGUAAGUGGAACUGCGAGUGUAGAGGUGAAAUUCGUAGAUAUUCGCAAGAACACCAGUGGCGAAGGCGGCUUACUGGUCCGGUUCUGACACUGAGACGCGAAAGCGUGGGGAGCAAACAGG
This 253-nucleotide ribosomal RNA is filed under the name uncultured bacterium. RNAcentral describes it as "partial 16S ribosomal RNA". It matches the Rfam family "Bacterial small subunit ribosomal RNA", at positions 524 to 776 of the family's 1533-position model. The record is from RNAcentral.